This 4546-nucleotide long non-coding RNA is filed under the name Arabidopsis thaliana (thale cress). RNAcentral's name for it is "long non-coding RNA (ATHA_LNC000485)". Lineage: Eukaryota; Viridiplantae; Streptophyta; Magnoliopsida; Brassicales; Brassicaceae. The record is from RNAcentral.
GGACGCGAAGAAGACUUUCCGACGAGAAGCCAUGAGUUUGAUCUGAAGAAGGAAUCUGAUAUCAACAAGAAUUCUCCGGCAAGAUUUGGAGGGGAAUCAAAAGCUGGGAUGGAGGAAGAUUUUCCGACAAGAGGUGAUGUGAAAGUAGAGAGUGGAUUGGGAAGAGACUUACCGACGGGAACUCAUGAUCAGUUCUCACCAGAACUAUCUCGUCCCAAAGAGAGAGAUGAUUCUGAGGAAACCAAAGAUGAGUCGACACAUGAGACAAAACCAAGCACCUACACAGAGCAGUUAGCUUCAGCUACAUCAGCCAUAACUAACAAAGCUAUAGCCGCAAAGAACGUCGUUGCCUCAAAGCUAGGUUACACCGGAGAGAAUGGCGGCGGGCAAAGCGAGAGCCCUGUAAAAGAUGAAACUCCGAGAUCUGUUACUGCUUACGGGCAGAAAGUGGCGGGAACUGUUGCUGAGAAGUUGACUCCGGUUUACGAAAAAGUCAAAGAAACAGGAUCAACGGUGAUGACAAAGCUACCUCUCUCCGGAGGUGGAAGUGGAGUGAAGGAGACGCAACAAGGGGAAGAGAAAGGUGUGACGGCUAAAAAUUAUAUAUCAGAGAAGCUGAAACCUGGAGAAGAGGACAAAGCUUUAUCGGAAAUGAUAGCUGAGAAACUUCAUUUUGGAGGAGGAGGAGAGAAGAAGACAACGGCUACAAAGGAGGUGGAAGUGACGGUUGAGAAGAUACCUUCCGACCAGAUAGCGGAGGGGAAAGGACAUGGUGAGGCGGUUGCAGAGGAAGGAAAAGGUGGAGAAGGAAUGGUGGGGAAAGUUAAAGGAGCGGUCACUUCUUGGCUCGGUGGUAAACCGAAGUCGCCACGGUCCGUUGAAGAGUCUCCACAAUCACUUGGCACCACCGUUGGUAAAACUCCCUCGUCCUUGUGUUACACGUAAUGUUAAGAUUUUGAUGUGUGUAUUAUUUUUGUAAUUUUACUCAAAAUGUUUUGGUUGCUAUGGUAGGGACUAUGGGGUUUUCGGAUUCCGGUGGAAGUGAGUUGGGAGGCAGUGGCGGAGGUAAGGGAGUUCAAGAUUCUGGGAACUGAAGAUUUGGGGUUUUGCUUUUGAAUGUUUGUGUUUUUGUAUGAUGCCUCUGUUUGUGAACUUUGAUGUAUUUUAUCUUUGUGUGAAAAAGAGAUUGGGUUAAUAAAAUAUUUGCUUUUUUGGAUAAGAAACUCUUUUAGCGGCCCAUUAAUAAAGGUUACAAAUGCAAAAUCAUGUUAGCGUCAGAUAUUUAAUUAUUCGAAGAUGAUUGUGAUAGAUUUAAAAUUAUCCUAGUCAAAAAGAAAGAGUAGGUUGAGCAGAAACAGUGACAUCUGUUGUUUGUACCAUACAAAUUAGUUUAGAUUAUUGGUUAACAUGUUAAAUGGCUAUGCAUGUGACAUUUAGACCUUAUCGGAAUUAAUUUGUAGAAUUAUUAAUUAAGAUGUUGAUUAGUUCAAACAAAAAUUUUAUAUUAAAAAAUGUAAACGAAUAUUUUGUAUGUUCAGUGAAAGUAAAACAAAUUAAAUUAACAAGAAACUUAUAGAAGAAAAUUUUUACUAUUUAAGAGAAAGAAAAAAAUCUAUCAUUUAAUCUGAGUCCUAAAAACUGUUAUACUUAACAGUUAACGCAUGAUUUGAUGGAGGAGCCAUAGAUGCAAUUCAAUCAAACUGAAAUUUCUGCAAGAAUCUCAAACACGGAGAUCUCAAAGUUUGAAAGAAAAUUUAUUUCUUCGACUCAAAACAAACUUACGAAAUUUAGGUAGAACUUAUAUACAUUAUAUUGUAAUUUUUUGUAACAAAAUGUUUUUAUUAUUAUUAUAGAAUUUUACUGGUUAAAUUAAAAAUGAAUAGAAAAGGUGAAUUAAGAGGAGAGAGGAGGUAAACAUUUUCUUCUAUUUUUUCAUAUUUUCAGGAUAAAUUAUUGUAAAAGUUUACAAGAUUUCCAUUUGACUAGUGUAAAUGAGGAAUAUUCUCUAGUAAGAUCAUUAUUUCAUCUACUUCUUUUAUCUUCUACCAGUAGAGGAAUAAACAAUAUUUAGCUCCUUUGUAAAUACAAAUUAAUUUUCGUUCUUGACAUCAUUCAAUUUUAAUUUUACGUAUAAAAUAAAAGAUCAUACCUAUUAGAACGAUUAAGGAGAAAUACAAUUCGAAUGAGAAGGAUGUGCCGUUUGUUAUAAUAAACAGCCACACGACGUAAACGUAAAAUGACCACAUGAUGGGCCAAUAGACAUGGACCGACUACUAAUAAUAGUAAGUUACAUUUUAGGAUGGAAUAAAUAUCAUACCGACAUCAGUUUGAAAGAAAAGGGAAAAAAAGAAAAAAUAAAUAAAAGAUAUACUACCGACAUGAGUUCCAAAAAGCAAAAAAAAAGAUCAAGCCGACACAGACACGCGUAGAGAGCAAAAUGACUUUGACGUCACACCACGAAAACAGACGCUUCAUACGUGUCCCUUUAUCUCUCUCAGUCUCUCUAUAAACUUAGUGAGACCCUCCUCUGUUUUACUCACAAAUAUGCAAACUAGAAAACAAUCAUCAGGAAUAAAGGGUUUGAUUACUUCUAUUGGAAAGAAAAAAAUCUUUGGAAAAUGGAUCAAACAGAGGAACCACCACUCAACACACACCAGCAGCACCCAGGUAGAUUCUAAUUUCAGAAACUUAUAUUUUUUUUAAGUGACAAUCCUCUGAAUUUACUUAAACUUAUUGUGAUUUAUGGAUACAGAAGAAGUUGAACAUCAUGAGAAUGGUGCGACUAAGAUGUUUAGGAAAGUAAAGGCUAGAGCUAAGAAGUUCAAGAACAGUCUCACUAAACAUGGACAAAGCAAUGAGCAUGAGCAAGAUCAUGAUUUGGUUGAAGAAGAUGAUGAUGAUGACGAGCUAGAACCUGAAGUGAUCGAUGCACCAGGUUACUUUCUUUUGUAGUUUCAUUCAACUUAUGAUCUAAAAACUAUUGGUUAUUCAAUUUUGCGUGACAUUAACGGUUUGGUAUCUGUAUAUGCAGGCGUAACAGGUAAACCUAGAGAAACUAAUGUUCCAGCAUCGGAGGAAAUUAUUCCACCAGGGACAAAGGUGUUUCCUGUCGUGUCUUCCGAUUACACCAAACCCACUGAAUCUGUACCAGUACAAGAGGCCUCUUACGGACACGAUGCACCGGCUCAUUCUGUAAGGACGACGUUUACAUCGGACAAGGAAGAGAAAAGAGAUGUACCGAUUCAUCAUCCUCUGUCCGAAUUGUCAGACAGAGAAGAGAGUAGAGAGACUCAUCAUGAGUCAUUGAACACUCCGGUCUCUCUGCUUUCUGGAACAGAGGAUGUAACGAGUACGUUUGCUCCAAGUGGUGAUGAUGAAUAUCUUGAUGGUCAACGGAAGGUCAACGUCGAGACCCCGAUAACGUUGGAGGAAGAGUCGGCUGUUUCAGACUAUCUUAGUGGUGUAUCUAAUUAUCAGUCCAAAGUUACUGAUCCCACCAAAGAAGGUAAGAACUUUGACCUUUUAAGAUUGUGUUUUUCUUUAGUGAUUAUGAAUAUGUAAUAACUCUGUUACGUUGUGUUUGGUUUAGAAACUGGAGGAGUACCGGAGAUUGCUGAGUCUUUUGGUAAUAUGGAAGUGACUGAUGAGUCUCCUGAUCAGAAGCCAGGACAAUUUGAAAGAGACUUGUCGACGAGAAGCAAAGAAUUCAAAGAGUUUGAUCAGGACUUUGACUCUGUUCUCGGUAAGGAUUCGCCGGCGAAAUUUCCAGGUGAAUCAGGAGUUGUUUUCCCGGUGGGCUUUGGUGACGAGUCAGGAGCUGAGCUGGAAAAAGAUUUUCCGACGAGAAGUCAUGAUUUUGAUAUGAAGACUGAAACUGGAAUGGACACGAAUUCUCCAUCAAGAAGCCAUGAAUUUGAUCUGAAGACUGAAUCUGGAAACGACAAGAAUUCUCCGAUGGGCUUUGGUAGUGAAUCAGGAGCUGAGCUGGAAAAAGAAUUUGAUCAGAAGAACGAUUCUGGAAGAAACGAGUAUUCGCCGGAAUCUGACGGCGGUUUAGGAGCUCCGUUGGGAGGAAAUUUUCCGGUGAGAAGUCAUGAGUUGGAUCUGAAGAACGAAUCUGAUAUCGACAAGGAUGUGCCGACGGGAUUUGACGGAGAACCAGAUUUUCUGGCGAAGGGAAGACCUGGAUACGGUGAGGCAUCAGAAGAGGAUAAAUUUCCGGCGAGAAGUGAUGAUGUGGAAGUAGAGACUGAGCUGGGAAGAGACCCAAAGACGGAGACUCUUGAUCAAUUCUCACCGGAACUUUCUCAUCCUAAAGAAAGAGAUGAGUUUAAGGAGUCCAGAGAUGAUUUUGAGGAGACGAGAGAUGAGAAAACAGAGGAGCCAAAACAGAGCACUUACACAGAGAAGUUUGCUUCAAUGCUAGGUUACUCCGGAGAAAUUCCGGUGGGAGAUCAAACUCAAGUGGCGGGAACUGUUGAUGAGAAGUUGACUCCGGUCAAUGAGAAGGAUCAAGAAACAGAGUCUGCCGUGACGACGAAGUUAC